CCCUUAGAUGUUCGGGGCCGCACGCGCGCUACACUGAAGGAAUCAGCACGUCUUUCUCCUUGUCCGAAAGGACUGGGUAACCCGCUGAACCUCCUUCGUGCUAGGGAUUGGGGCUUGUAAUUCUUCCCCAUGAACGAGGAAUUCCCAGUAAGCGCGAGUCAUAAGCUCGCGUUGAUUACGUCCCUGCCCUUUGUACACACCGCCCGUCGCUACUACCGAUUGGAUGGUUUAGUGCGAUCCUCGGAUUGGUCCCGGCGCGGCCUCUGGUCGUGCCGGAGUGCCGAAAAGAAUGUCGAACUUGAUCAUCUAGAGGAAGUAAAAGUCGUAACA
Molecule: ribosomal RNA, 330 nt
Filed under: uncultured eukaryote
Lineage: Eukaryota
Description: partial 18S ribosomal RNA
Rfam family: Eukaryotic small subunit ribosomal RNA
Source: RNAcentral